GCCGAAGUGGCGGAAUUGGUAGACGCGCUAGGUUCAGGGUCUAGUGGGUGCACGCCCGUGGAAGUUCGAGUCUUCUCUUCGGCACCA
Molecule: transfer RNA, 87 nt
Filed under: Desulfobacterales bacterium CG23_combo_of_CG06-09_8_20_14_all_51_8
Lineage: Bacteria; Pseudomonadati; Thermodesulfobacteriota; Desulfobacteria; Desulfobacterales
Description: tRNA-Leu
Rfam family: tRNA
About the family: Transfer RNA (tRNA) molecules are approximately 80 nucleotides in length. Their secondary structure includes four short double-helical elements and three loops (D, anti-codon, and T loops).
Source: RNAcentral